RNAcentral lists this unclassified non-coding RNA (21 nucleotides) under Mus musculus (house mouse). RNAcentral describes it as "oocyte_clustered_small_RNA11092". The record is from RNAcentral. Lineage: Eukaryota; Metazoa; Chordata; Mammalia; Rodentia; Muridae.
AGAUGCCUGCACCAACCUGGA